GAUGAACGCUAGCGGGAGGCUUAACACAUGCAAGUCGUGGGGCAGCAUUUGGUAGCAAUACUGAGAUGGCGACCGGCGCACGGGUGAGUAACACGUAUGCAACCUACCUAUUACAGUGGGAUAGCCCGGAGAAAUUCGGAUUAAUACCGCAUGAAACUAAUGAGAGGCAUCUUUUAUUAGUUAAAAUUUUAAUGGUAAUAGAAGGGCAUGCGGCUGAUUAGCUAGUUGGUAGUGUAAUGGACUACCAAGGCAACGAUCAGUAGGGGUUCUGAGAGGAAGGUCCCCCACACUGGUACUGAGAUACGGACCAGACUCCUACGGGAGGCUG
This 328-nucleotide ribosomal RNA is filed under the name uncultured Bacteroidota bacterium. Its description in RNAcentral is "bacterial SSU rRNA". It matches the Rfam family "Bacterial small subunit ribosomal RNA", at positions 28 to 351 of the family's 1533-position model. The record is from RNAcentral. Lineage: Bacteria; Pseudomonadati; Bacteroidota.